AAUUAUUGAAAGAAAUUAGGUUAACUAGCGUGAGUUUAUACACAUGAUAUUUAAUCAUAUAGUAUUUCUAGUCACGCAGAGAUCAUAUGACAUUCUUCCUGAGAUCAAUACUUUCAUUUUCUAGUCAUCGUAUUCAUUGGAGAAGACGCUUUACAAAAAUUUCGAUAAAUUUGUGCAAAGCAUUUUCAUCAAAAGUUAAUCAUGUCCGCCGACGACGACGUUGAUAACGUUGAUGAACAAGAAUUAGACAGUGUUUUAUGUACUGAAGAAGUUACAACCGAUUGUUGAAAUUCAUAUUCCAUUGGAGUCCUACAGUGGCAGUACGGCCUCACGAACGAACGAUUUGUCUCUGAAUCGAGACAGUAAAUAUCAAUAUGCUGUCCUGUUGAAGUGCUAGAAAUGCUACGGAGGCAAUGGUUACCCCAAAGGAUUGGGGAAAAUUGAAAAAACAACACAGUUGAGAGAACGUUGCUAAAUCGAUCAGCGUACAAGAGGAAUCAAAUCAAGUUGAUGAUACCAAUUCACUCCAGGAAACAAAUCAAGUUGAUGAUGCCAAUUUACUCCAGGAAACAAAUCAUAUUUAUGGUGCCAAUUUACUCCAUGAAACAAAUCAUAUUGAUGAUGCCAAUUUACUCCAUGAAACAAAUCAUAUUGAUGAUGCCAAUUUACUCCACGAAACAAAUCAUAUUGAUGAUGCCAAUUUACUCCAUGAAACAAAUCAUAUUGAUAAUGCCAAUUUACUCCAGGAAACAAAUCCUAUUGAUGAUGCCAAUUUACUCCAGGAAACAAAUGGACUUGAAUUAAUGGACCUUGAGGUCAGCAGUCUCUUUGAGGACAGCAGGCAGAAUAUGGACUGUCAUGUUGAUUUUAUGUCGGUUCCUCCAGAACUUUGAUGACUGUAAUUUGUUAUGGCAUGUCAAAAAACAAUUUGUCUUUUUACAACCAUUGAAAUUGUUACAAUGAUCAUAAAUAUUACAUCCAUAUGCAAUUGUUUAGCAAACUCAA
Molecule: long non-coding RNA, 1005 nt
Organism: Xenia sp. Carnegie-2017
Lineage: Eukaryota; Metazoa; Cnidaria; Anthozoa; Malacalcyonacea; Xeniidae
Exons: 4
Source: RefSeq, a predicted model, not a curated record